RNAcentral lists this ribosomal RNA (450 nucleotides) under uncultured organism. RNAcentral describes it as "partial 16S ribosomal RNA". It matches the Rfam family "Bacterial small subunit ribosomal RNA", at positions 330 to 797 of the family's 1533-position model. The record is from RNAcentral.
CGUACACUCCUACGGGAGGCAGCAGUGGGGAAUAUUGGACAAUGGGCGAAAGCCUGAUCCAGCAAUGCCGCGUGAGUGAUGAAGGCCUUAGGGUUGUAAAGCUCUUUUACCCGGGAUGAUAAUGACAGUACCGGGAGAAUAAGCCCCGGCUAACUCCGUGCCAGCAGCCGCGGUAAUACGGAGGGGGCUAGCGUUGUUCGGAAUUACUGGGCGUAAAGCGCGCGUAGGCGGCUUUGUAAGUUAGAGGUGAAAGCCCGGAGCUCAACUUCGGAAUUGCCUUUAAGACUGCAUCGCUAGAAUCGUGGAGAGGUGAGUGGAAUUCCGAGUGUAGAGGUGAAAUUCGUAGAUAUUCGGAAGAACACCAGUGGCGAAGGCGACUCACUGGACACGUAUUGACGCUGAGGUGCGAAAGCGUGGGGAGCAAACAGGAUUAGAAACCCUGGUAGUCCC